UAAUGGUGUAUACCUUAUCUCAAAGUAUGUGGUAUUUUUGGUAUGAGGCAUAAUGGAAUUGCCUUCUCUCUCACCCUACUCUAAUAAGGUUUUGAUAUCUGGAGCUCAUAAGUGGGAGACAACUAAUACAUACUUGCAAGACAUUUAUUGCAUAGUCAAACCAUGGAUCUAGAAGAAUAAGUCAAUAAGUCAAAUCAAGAUGUGCAUGUGUGGCGAAUGAUUGGUGAUAAUGGUGAAAAUAAUGGUGGAAGUCUAAUUCUACUUUUGCUCUUUUGAGGGGGUACAUACCUUCCUUGCACUUGAGGCUUUUGAGGGGAAUGAGAUGCUCUAUAUUUUCUUUUUCUUUUCUCUCAGGUGGGUAUCUUGUAUCGGACACUUGUCCAUUUUUACCUCUCGUCUCACUUUUUCUUUUCUUUCGAGGUUCCUGGCACUUGCCCCUUUUUAUUUCCUCGUAUCUUUUUUUAGAGCACUCACCUCUUUAAAUAAUGUAGCAAGUGGUAGUAACCAAAAUAACUUGAGCAUUUAUUUCACAGGGGAAAACAGAAAUAGGAGAAUGUUUUUGGCUAUUCUCUCCUAGAUUAGGAGUAGAAUAUUUUUGGGUAAAUCUGGAUAUGGAAAUGAGUGGAUGUAUGUGGAUGCGUACUUCCGGAGUAGAAGCAGCAUGUGUGAGUGAACGUGCAAGUGAAUCUUGAUUUAACCACAUGACAAGCUCCUAAGGGUCUACACAGCUUG
This 732-nucleotide long non-coding RNA is filed under the name Sorghum bicolor (sorghum). RNAcentral's name for it is "long non-coding RNA (SBIC_LNC012650)". The record is from RNAcentral. Lineage: Eukaryota; Viridiplantae; Streptophyta; Magnoliopsida; Poales; Poaceae.